Molecule: non-coding RNA, 394 nt
Filed under: Stegodyphus mimosarum
Lineage: Eukaryota; Metazoa; Arthropoda; Arachnida; Araneae; Eresidae
Description: Microsporidia small subunit ribosomal RNA
Rfam family: Eukaryotic small subunit ribosomal RNA
Source: Rfam by way of RNAcentral
GCUUUUAUUAGACCAAUCGGGACACGUGUCCGUAUUAUGUGGUAACUCUGUAUAACUUUGGGCUGAUCGUGCGAGCUCGUCCCAGCGAUGCAUCUUCCUAGUGUCUGCCUUAUCAAGUGGAUGGUAGAUUACGCGCCUACCAUGGUCGUAAGGGUGACAGUGAAUCAGGGUUUGAUUCCGAAGAGGGAGUCUGAGAAAUGGCUACCACAUCCAAGGAAGGCAGCAGGAGCGCAAAUUACCCAGUCUCAGAAAGGGUAGGUAGUGACAAAAAAUAACAAUACGGGAUUCUUUUGAGACCCCGUAACUGAAAUGAGUACACUCUAAAUCCUUUAACGAGGAUCAAUUGCAGGGCAAGACUGGUGCCAGCAGCCUCGGUAAUUCUAGCUCUAACAGC